AAUGGGCGCAAGCCUGAUGCAGCCAUGCCGCGUGUAUGAAGAAGGCCUUCGGGUUGUAAAGUACUUUCAGCGAGGAGGAAGGCGUUGUGGUUAAUAACCGCAACGAUUGACGUUACUCGCAGAAGAAGCACCGGCUAACUCCGUGCCAGCAGCCGCGGUAAUACGGAGGGUGCAAGCGUUAAUCGGAAUUACUGGGCGUAAAGCGCACGCAGGCGGUCUGUCAAGUCGGAUGUGAAAUCCCCGGGCUCAACCUGGGAACUGCAUCCGAAACUGGCAGGCUAGAGUCUUGUAGAGGGGGGUAGAAUUCCAGGUGUAGCGGUGAAAUGCGUAGAGAUCUGGAGGAAUACCGGUGGCGAAGGCGGCCCCCUGGACAAAGACUGACGCUCAGGUGCGAAAGCGUGGGGAGCAAA
This 410-nucleotide ribosomal RNA is filed under the name uncultured bacterium. RNAcentral describes it as "bacterial SSU rRNA". It matches the Rfam family "Bacterial small subunit ribosomal RNA", at positions 370 to 772 of the family's 1533-position model. The record is from RNAcentral.